GUGAAUCAUCGAAUUUUUGAACGCAAAUUGCACUCUCUGGUAUUCCGGAGAGUAUGCCUGUUUGAGGGUCAUUAUAAAUAAAAAGCGAGGUGUUGCGUAGGGUGACGCCGUAAGACGUGUGUUAUAUAUAGUCUUAAUAAAGGGUUAAACUGACAUAAAAUUGAUGAUAUCUUGUGCAUCUCAGGACGUACAUGAGGAUUUUUUUUUAUCCGUCCGGU
This 218-nucleotide unclassified non-coding RNA is filed under the name Glomeraceae sp. RNAcentral's name for it is "partial contains 5.8S ribosomal RNA and internal transcribed spacer 2". The stretch from base 1 to 71 matches the Rfam family "5.8S ribosomal RNA", at positions 84 to 154 of the family's 154-position model. The record is from RNAcentral. Lineage: Eukaryota; Fungi; Glomeromycota; Glomeromycetes; Glomerales; Glomeraceae.